CCUACGGGUGGCAGCAGUGAGGAAUAUUGGUCAAUGGGCGCUAGCCUGAACCAGCCAAGUCGCGUGAAGGAUGACUGCCCUAUGGGUUGUAAACUUCUUUGAUAUGGGAAUAAAGUGCAGUAUGUAUACUGCUUUGCAUGUACCUUAUGAUUAAGGAUCGGCUAACUCCGUGCCAGCAGCCGCGGUAAUACGGAGGAUCCGAGCGUUAUCCGGAUUUAUUGGGUUUAGAGGGAGCGUAGGCGGGUUGUUAAGUCAGUUGUGAAAGUUUGCGGCUUAACCGUAAAAUUGCAGUUGAUACUGGCAUCCUUGAGUAUAGUAGAGGUAGGUGGAAUUCGUGGUGUAGCGGUGAAAUGCUUAGAGAUCACGAAGAAUUCUGAUUGCGAAGGCAGCCUGCUGGACUGUAACUGACGCUGAUGCGCGAAAGUGUGGGUAGCAAACAGGAUUAGAUACCCCGGUAGUC
This 460-nucleotide ribosomal RNA is filed under the name uncultured bacterium. RNAcentral describes it as "partial 16S ribosomal RNA". It matches the Rfam family "Bacterial small subunit ribosomal RNA", at positions 338 to 795 of the family's 1533-position model. The record is from RNAcentral.